This 306-nucleotide ribosomal RNA is filed under the name Flavobacteriaceae bacterium. RNAcentral's name for it is "partial 23S ribosomal RNA". It matches the Rfam family "Bacterial large subunit ribosomal RNA", at positions 2611 to 2925 of the family's 2925-position model. The record is from RNAcentral. Lineage: Bacteria; Pseudomonadati; Bacteroidota; Flavobacteriia; Flavobacteriales; Flavobacteriaceae.
UCAGAACGUCGUGAGACAGUUCGGUCUCUAUCUACUGUGGGCGUUAGAAAUUUGAGUGGAUCUGACUCUAGUACGAGAGGACCGAGUUGGACAAACCUCUGGUGUAUCUGUUGUCACGCCAGUGGCAUUGCAGAGUAGCUACGUUUGGAAGGGAUAAGCGCUGAAAGCAUAUAAGCGCGAAACCCACCACAAGAUGAGAUUUCUUUAAAGGGUCGUGGGAGAUGACCACGUUGAUAGGCUACAGGUGUAAGCGCAGUAAUGUGCGUAGCCGAGUAGUACUAAUAACCCAUAGGCUUAUUGUACGCC